UACGUAGGGGGCUAGCGUUGUCCGGAUUUAUUGGGCGUAAAGAGCGUGUAGGCGGCCAGGUAGGUCUGCUGUGAAAACUCGAGGCUCAACCUCGAGACGUCGGCGGAAACCAUCUGGCUAGAGUCCGGAAGAGGAGAGUGGAAUUCCUGGUGUAGCGGUGAAAUGCGUAGAGAUCAGGAAGAACAUCGGUGGCGAAGGCGCUCUGCUGGACCAUAACUGACACUCAGGGACGAAAGCUAGGGGAGCGAAUGGG
This 253-nucleotide ribosomal RNA is filed under the name uncultured bacterium. RNAcentral's name for it is "partial 16S ribosomal RNA". It matches the Rfam family "Bacterial small subunit ribosomal RNA", at positions 524 to 776 of the family's 1533-position model. The record is from RNAcentral.